Molecule: long non-coding RNA, 768 nt
Organism: Durio zibethinus
Lineage: Eukaryota; Viridiplantae; Streptophyta; Magnoliopsida; Malvales; Malvaceae
Source: RefSeq, a predicted model, not a curated record
UUUACUGAUUCACGGUUUCUAUUCAUGUCCCUGAUUACAUAUAUAGGGUUUGAAGACAUGGAUGUAUUAUCUAAGAUCUUGUGCUGCAGCUAAUGCAAUCAAAUUCACAGUUGAGACUUCCAUGGUUAAGUUGUCCGACGAUAUACAUGAGGAGGUGGAUAGCAACAAUCGCUUGCUGGAUUGAAUGGGAAAUGAUAUGGACGCAUCAAGAAGCAGUCCCCAGACUGCAAUUAUAAUACACAUCAAUGAUGUCUUAAAAAACAAUUAAGGGGUAAAUUUAGGCAAGAGGAGAAGCUUCUAGAGACGCUGCAAGACGAGAAAGAUUGAAAAACAAAGCAGAAGUUUCAGCACCUAACAAUCGAAAAUAUUAAAAAAGAGAAAGGGGGAGGAGAAAGAGAAAGGGAAAGAUAAUAAGGAAGUUAAAUAAGAACAACGAAACAAGUGAAUAUUUUUGUUUUUGUCUCUACCUUUAAUUUCUGGUAUUCCUCUGUUUGGACAAUGAGAUACUGCAAGAAAAUAUUUUCGCAGAAGAUUUAAUCUCUAAUAAUGCACUAAGUUUCUCCAAGUGUGAAAUUUUUUUGUUGUUUUUUAAUUUUUGCAGUGGUCGAGUUUUUGGGCAACAUUCCAUUGUUGUAGAGAUUACCAAGUUCUUUGUUUAGGAGAAUGGCUGAAGACAUAAAUUUUAAGCACUAUGAGAAAGGAGAUUAUGUCAUUCGUGAAGGUGAAGUUGGAGAGGAAUAUAUUUUGUAUAGGAAGGAGAGGUCUGUU